This 854-nucleotide ribosomal RNA is filed under the name uncultured archaeon. RNAcentral describes it as "bacterial SSU rRNA". It matches the Rfam family "Archaeal small subunit ribosomal RNA", at positions 39 to 899 of the family's 1478-position model. The record is from RNAcentral.
UGAUACUAAGCCAUGCGAGUCAUUGUAGUAAUACAAGGCAGACGGCUCAGUAACGCGUAGUCAACCUAACCUAUGGACGGGGAUAAUCUCGGGAAACUGAGCAUAAUACCCGAUAGAACAUUAUGCCUGGAAUGGUUUAUGUUCCAGAUGAUUUAUCGCCGUAGGAUGGGACUGCGGCCUAUCAGUUUGUUGGUGAGGUAAUGGCCCACCAAGACUAUUACAGGUACGGGCUCUGAGAGGAGUAGCCCGGAGAUGGGUACUGAGACACGGACCCAGGCCCUAUGGGGCGCAGCAGGCGAGAAAACUUUGCAAUGUGCGAAAGCACGACAAGGUUAAUCCGAGUGGUUUCUGCUAAAGGAACCUUUUGUCGGUCCUAGAAACACCGAUGAAUAAGGGGUGGGCAAGUUCUGGUGUCAGCCGCCGCGGUAAAACCAGCACCUCAAGUGGUCAGGAUGAUUAUUGGGCCUAAAGCAUCCGUAGCCGGCUCUGUAAGUUUUCGGUUAAAUCUGUACGCUCAACGUACAGGCUGCCGGGAAUACUGCAGAGCUAGGGAGUGGGAGAGGUAGACGGUACUCGGUAGGAAGGGGUAAAAUCCUUUGAUCUAUUGAUGACCACCUGUGGCGAAGGCGGUCUACCAGAACACGUCCGACGGUGAGGGAUGAAAGCUGGGGGAGCAAACCGGAUUAGAUACCCGGGUAGUCCCAGCUGUAAACUAUGCAAACUCAGUGAUGCAUUGGCUUGUGGCCAAUGCAGUGCUGCAGGGAAGCCGUUAAGUUUGCCGCCUGGGAAGUACGUACGCAAGUAUGAAACUUAAAGGAAUUGGCGGGGGAGCACCACAAGGGGUGAAGCCUGCG